CCUACGGGGGGCAGCAGUGAGGAAUAUUGGUCAAUGGACGAGAGUCUGAACCAGCCAAGUAGCGUGAAGGAUGACUGUCCUAUGGGUUGUAAACUUCUUUUAUAAGGGACUAAAACGAGGCACGUGUGCCUUUUUGCAUGUACUUUAUGAAUAAGGAUCGGCUAACUCCGUGCCAGCAGCCGCGGUAAUACGGAGGAUCCGAGCGUUAUCCGGAUUUAUUGGGUUUAAAGGGAGCGUAGAUGGGUUGUUAAGUCAGUUGUGAAAUUUUGAGGCUCAACCGUAAAAUUGCAAUUGAUACUGGCAGUCUUGAGUACAGUUGAGGUAGGCGGAAUUCGUGGUGUAGCGGUGAAAUGCUUAGAUAUCACGAAGAACCCCGAUUGCGAAGGCAGCUUACUAAACUGUGACUGACAUUGAUGCUCGAAAGUGUGGGUAUCAAACAGGAUUAGAUACCCCUGUAGUC
Molecule: ribosomal RNA, 460 nt
Filed under: uncultured bacterium
Lineage: Bacteria
Description: partial 16S ribosomal RNA
Rfam family: Bacterial small subunit ribosomal RNA
Source: RNAcentral